This 374-nucleotide ribosomal RNA is filed under the name uncultured bacterium. RNAcentral describes it as "bacterial SSU rRNA". It matches the Rfam family "Bacterial small subunit ribosomal RNA", at positions 524 to 898 of the family's 1533-position model. The record is from RNAcentral.
UACGUAGGCAGCAAGCGUUGUUCGGAAUUACUGGGCGUAAAGAGUGUGUAGGUGGUGUCGUAAGUUUGGUGUGAAAUCUCCCGGCUUAACUGGGAGGGUGCGCCGAAGACUGCGAUGCUGGAGUAUGGGAGAGGAAAGCGGAAUUCCUGGUGUAGCGGUGAAAUGCGUAGAUAUCAGGAGGAACACCUGCGGUGUAGACGGCUUUCUGGACCAUUACUGACACUGAGACACGAAAGCGUGGGUAGCAAACAGGAUUAGAUACCCUGGUAGUCCACGCCCUAAACGAUGCAUACUUGGUGUGAGCCAUUCAGUUGGUUCGUGCCGGAGCUAACGCGUUAAGUAUGCCGCCUGGGGAGUACGGUCGCAAGGCUGAA